Eptesicus fuscus (big brown bat) is the source of this 263-nucleotide long non-coding RNA. RefSeq lists it as uncharacterized. The record is from RefSeq and is a predicted model, not a curated record. The transcript is spliced from 3 exons. NCBI's taxonomy places the organism in Eukaryota, Metazoa, Chordata, Mammalia, Chiroptera, Vespertilionidae.
CCGGAGCCUGCCCGACAGCCACGCCAGCCACAGCAGGCAGCUGAGUCAUAACCUCCAGCAGGAAACACUCCCUGUUGUGGGAAGAGGUCGCCAGUCGAUGUGAAGAUAAUGCCCUAGGAAGUAGGUGAGAAGCUGAGACACAGAGACAGCAAAUAUCUCCUCCAAGGAUAGUGAGAUCUCAUUUUCGAUUUUUGCAUCCUCCAUAAAUAUCUCCAGCUUGAAAGAAUAGAUGAUUACCUCCCAGACCCAGGAAACUUACAUCU